AACGCACAUUGCGCCCUCUGGUAUUCCGGGGGGCAUGCCUGUUCGAGCGUCAUUACAACCCUCAAGCUCUGCUUGGUAUUAGGCGCCGCCUGUCAAGGCGCGUCUCAAAACUAGUGGCGGUGCCAUCUGGCUUCAAGCGUAGUAAUUCUUCUCGCUUCGGAGAACCAGUUGUGUGCUCGCCAACAACCCCAAAUUUUAUCAAGGUUGACCUCGGAUCAGGUAGGGAUACCCGCUGAACUUAA
RNAcentral lists this unclassified non-coding RNA (242 nucleotides) under uncultured fungus. RNAcentral describes it as "sequence contains ITS2". The stretch from base 1 to 52 matches the Rfam family "5.8S ribosomal RNA", at positions 103 to 154 of the family's 154-position model. Lineage: Eukaryota; Fungi. The record is from RNAcentral.